Molecule: ribosomal RNA, 482 nt
Filed under: uncultured bacterium
Lineage: Bacteria
Description: partial 16S ribosomal RNA
Rfam family: Bacterial small subunit ribosomal RNA
Source: RNAcentral
AUUGAACGCUGGCGGCAUGCCUUACACAUGCAAGUCGAACGGUAACAGGUCUUCGGAUGCUGACGAGUGGCGAACGGGUGAGUAAUACAUCGGAACGUGCCCGAUCGUGGGGGCCAACGAGGCGAAAGCUUUGCUAAUACCGCAUACGAUCUACGGAUGAAAGCGGGGGAUCUUCGGACCUCGCGCGGACGGAGCGGCCGAUGGCAGAUUAGGUAGUUGGUGGGAUAAAAGCUUACCAAGCCGACGAUCUGUAGCUGGUCUGAGAGGAUGAUCAGCCACACUGGGACUGAGACACGGCCCAGACUCCUACGGGAGGCAGCAGUGGGGAAUUUUGGACAAUGGGCGAAAGCCUGAUCCAGCCAUGCCGCGUGCAGGAUGAAGGCCUUCGGGUUGUAAACUGCUUUUGUACGGAACGAAAAGCCUCUUUCUAAUAAAGAGAGGUCAUGACGGUACCGGAAGAAUAAGCACCGGCUAACUACGUG